CCUACGGGUGGCAGCAGUGAGGAAUAUUGGUCAAUGGGCGCGAGCCUGAACCAGCCAAGUAGCGUGAAGGAUGACUGCCCUACGGGUUGUAAACUUCUUUUAUAAAGGAAUAAAGUGAGGCACGUGUGCCUUUUUGUAUGUACUUUAUGAAUAAGGAUCGGCUAACUCCGUGCCAGCAGCCGCGGUAAUACGGAGGAUCCGAGCGUUAUCCGGAUUUAUUGGGUUUAAAGGGAGCGUAGGAGGGUUGUUAAGUCAGUUGUGAAAGUUUGCGGCUCAACCGUAGAAGUGCAAUCGAUACUGGCAGGAUAGAGUCUUGUAGAGGUGGGUAGCAUUCCAGGUGUAGCGGUGAAAUGCGUAGAGAUCUGGAGGAAUACCGGUGGAGAAGGCGGUCCACUAGACAACGACUGACGCUCAGGUGCGAAAGGGUGGGGAGCAAACAGGAUUAGAUACCCGAGUAGUC
RNAcentral lists this ribosomal RNA (460 nucleotides) under uncultured bacterium. Its description in RNAcentral is "partial 16S ribosomal RNA". It matches the Rfam family "Bacterial small subunit ribosomal RNA", at positions 338 to 795 of the family's 1533-position model. The record is from RNAcentral.